CUCGAUGUAGCUCAGUCUGGUAGAGCGCCUGGUUUGGGACCAGGAGGCCGGCGGUUCGAAUCCGCCCGUCGAGACCA
This 77-nucleotide transfer RNA is filed under the name Planctomycetota bacterium. RNAcentral's name for it is "Planctomycetes bacterium (soil metagenome) tRNA-Pro". It matches the Rfam family "tRNA". From Rfam's summary of the family: Transfer RNA (tRNA) molecules are approximately 80 nucleotides in length. Their secondary structure includes four short double-helical elements and three loops (D, anti-codon, and T loops). Further hydrogen bonds mediate the characteristic L-shaped molecular structure. tRNAs have two regions of fundamental functional importance: the anti-codon, which is responsible for specific mRNA codon recognition, and the 3' end, to which the tRNAs corresponding amino acid is attached (by aminoacyl-tRNA synthetases). tRNAs cope with the degeneracy of the genetic code in two manners: having more than one tRNA (with a specific anti-codon) for a particular amino acid; and 'wobble' base-pairing, i.e. permitting non-standard base-pairing at the 3rd anti-codon position. Lineage: Bacteria; Pseudomonadati; Planctomycetota. The record is from RNAcentral.